Non-coding RNA from Pogona vitticeps (central bearded dragon), 302 nucleotides. NCBI's taxonomy places the organism in Eukaryota, Metazoa, Chordata, Lepidosauria, Squamata, Agamidae. The record is from RefSeq and is a predicted model, not a curated record.
GGGGGCUUCCUGGGGAGUCUUCCCGCAUCAGGACUUGGAAGCAGGGGGUGAGACGGAGUUGAAUUCUCCUCCUCACUUUUCUCUGGACCAAAAGAGAAGAAUCAACUUCCAGAUCCUCCCAACCUUUGCAAGGCAGCUGCCGGCGCCCUUUGAGGAGUUGGCCACGUAUCUUUCCCACGGAGGCUGGAAUCUUCUGGAUGCAGCUGAGAGAGCUCUGCACGAGGACCUCCUGCUGAAGACCUCUGGGGACAAAGUCUUUCCAGACCUAUUUCCAGAAGACAUCGAUCGAAAAUGGCUUCCCC